AGUGAACGUUGGCGGCGUGGAUUAGGCAUGCAAGUCGAGCGAGAACCGUAGCAAUACGGGGACAGCGGCGAAAGGGACAGUAAUGUGUAGGUACCUACCUCCGGGUUCGGGAUAGCUGCGGGAAACUGCAGGUAAUACCGAAUAACGUCUCCGGACCAAAGGUGUGAUUCCACCUGGAGAGGGGCCUGCAUCCUAUUAGCUUGUUGGCGGGGUAACGGCCCACCAAGGCGACGAUGGGUAGCGGGUGUGAGAGCACGACCCGCGUCAUUUGGGCUGAGACACUGCCCAGACACCUACGGGUGGCUGCAGUCGUGAAUCUUCGGCAAUGGGCGCAAGCCUGACCGAGCGACGCCGCGUGCGGGAUGAAGGCCUUCGGGUUGUAACCCGCUGUCGUAGAGGAGGAAAUGCAGGGGGGUUCUCCCCUCUGUUUGACCUAUUCUAGGAGGAAGUACGGGCUAAGUUCGUGCCAGCAGCCGCCGUAA
RNAcentral lists this ribosomal RNA (482 nucleotides) under uncultured bacterium. RNAcentral's name for it is "partial 16S ribosomal RNA". It matches the Rfam family "Bacterial small subunit ribosomal RNA", at positions 28 to 523 of the family's 1533-position model. The record is from RNAcentral.